RNAcentral lists this long non-coding RNA (24567 nucleotides) under Solanum tuberosum (potato). Its description in RNAcentral is "long non-coding RNA (STUB_LNC006737)". Lineage: Eukaryota; Viridiplantae; Streptophyta; Magnoliopsida; Solanales; Solanaceae. The record is from RNAcentral.
AAUGAAUUCAUCAGCUUUCUCAUCAACGUGGCUAAUGAUGUCACCAUUAUCAUCAGCUUCUCUUAGUGGAAAGGCGAGUCAGUGAUCCUUAAUUGCCUCACCGUUGGAGUCCUUCCGAAUCCAGGCAAAGCAGGUGAUGCUGUUUCGCUCUGAAGCAUUUCUAAUGCCUUCAAAACAGCAGCGUUCAUCAUUAAAACGUCGUCGUGUUCAGGCUGAUUAUGCUUAUUAAUGCGCUUGUUGAUGUUGAAGGGGAGGUGAAAAGCUGGGCUGUUACUGCAGCUGAACUCGUAAUACUCUUUUGAAAUCGAUUGAUGAAUAUUAUUAUUAUUAUGGCCCUGAAACAUCAGAUUUUGGAACGCGGCCUUUCCAGCAAUCUUACCACGUUUCAUUAAUAAGUUGAGAUCGAACAUUAGUUUCCUCUUUGAUGAUAAUCCUUUUCUCAACAUGAAAUAAGCCACACGAACUAUUUUCCAGAACUUUUUCCCUAUAACUGGCAAUAUUUUUUGAUCCAUUUUCACGUACGGAGAAUUUUUUUAUUUUUUUUGAACUGUGAGUUUUUGUUGGUUAACUUGAGAAGGAGAGACAAAUAUUGAUGAAAGCCAAGAGAGAGCUUUAAUUUAGAGGAGAGUUGUUUGUUAUUGUGGUUUAUGAGAAGCAUUGAGUGAGUGGUAUAUAUAGGGGGAUUUUCAUACAGAGGAAAAGGACGCAGUGAAGUAUUCUAUAUAUUUUUAAGUAGACACGUUUGGGCACGGAAUAGACCACGUAUAUUACUUGUUGAGAUUCAAUUAUACUAUUGCUUCAAUUAUUAGAGGAGGAAGUAGUCUUUAAAGUCACUGUCACCCAUGCUUUUCACGUGAAUUAAUUGCAAAUUUGAGGCCAAUAGCAAGUAACCUCUAUAUUAUUUUCUUAAUACCAAACACACUCUUUUAAGUCUUUAUGGUCUGCAAGGAAAAGGAGUAAAGGCAAAAAAGGGGGUGGUGGGGCCUGAAGGUACAGUUAUCCAAAUGUGACAUUCAAAUUAUUGAAGAAGGCGUUUGAAAUGUAACAAACAAUUUCUAAAAAUAACUGCAUAUUCAGUGUGAGUAGAGGAUAUAAUUAUGUGUCUUCAAAUCUAUUCUAUGGUACAACAAUAAUUGUUAAAGAAAGAUGAGGAUGAAUAUGCAAGACGUUACAUAUUAAAAGGUCUCUAGCUUUUAAAUUUUUUAACAGUUUGAAAACUCCUCGGUUCAUUUUUAUCUAUCAUUAGACUUUGAUCAAUAUUUUACGUUAUAUUUUUUUAUAAUAUUAAUAUAAGAAUGAAUAUCAUUUCUUGUAGUUUUCGAACAUUUAAAAUAUUGAAUGUAAUAUAAUUUAAUUUAGCUUCAAAAUUAAUCAUAUUAAUUCUUAUUAAGUGAAAUAUAACAAGUAAAAAUAGACGAAAAAAUAUCAUACAAAUGUACAUAAGAGAGAUGAAGCAAGUCCCACGUGUCUUCAUAUAAUAAUUCUAAUUACACCUCUAUUAUUUACAUGUCAAUCAGCUAAAAUGGGGCCAAUAAUUAAAAUUCCUUCUAUAAAUCAUUAAAUUAUGACUGAUUUGUUCUUUUUGCAUCUGAACAUUCACCUUAAGCGUAACACGAAACUUAAUUAAUGAUAUUAAACAAGUGCUUACGUAACUUAAUUGAUAAAAUCAAAUUAAUUAGUCCAAUAAUUUGAUACGAUAUUUUUCUAGAAUGCAUAUAAUUUGUCAUGUGACCAUAACGUUGAACUACUCUUAUAAUCACAUUUUCUCUUGGACUAGAAGGAAAUACAAUAUGCUUUACUUCAACUUAUAAUUAUUUCUAAUUUCUCUUUUUUGCUUUUCUUAUUUUCAAUUAAAAAAAAAAACGUAACAAGAACACAACAAUCGAACUAAGAGAGAAUUUUUGUAUUUCAGGACUACUAGCUACUCACAGCUUUUAAUGUAUUCUUUAUGUGUAAGUUUUAAAGUUUGACACAUUUGGGCACGGAGCAAAUUAUAGAACUUCUAAAUAAACAAAAAUUAGAAAGUAACUCCAAAAGCAAAAGCAAAAGCCAUACCCAACACAAAAGAAAAUUCAGCUACUUUUGCUGGAAGAAAGAGGGAUACAAAAGAAGUGGUCAAUUAUUAUAAUCUUACCUAAAUUCGUAAAUCAAAUUUGUCUUUACAAUUAUUUUUCUUAAUUAAUUUUCUAAUGAUAAAGCAUAUCUUAUACUCUUAAGAAUUUCUUUGAUUCACUAUUGGCUCCCAAAAGUUCAAUUAAGUUUUGAAUAUUCAAGCAACCCAUGAGUUCUAUAUACUUGCAAAUAAAGUUUGAGAAAAUAAUAACAAUGUGUUAUUAACUCCCUCACUUUUUCAACUACGAGUAUUCUAACCCACAUAGUUUCAACAAAACAUUUUCCAGCAAAUACGUAGAUAAAUAUGCAAUAGAGUUUGAUGAGUUGAAACAACAAAAAUCAACCAUCUAAAAUGCAAAUAAUAGUCUUUUAUAAGAGAUAAAAAAACAUACUAGACAAAUAUAAGGGAAAAUAUCGAUACCACAAUUCAAUAGACUUUUCAAAUUAAAAUAUCGAUGUUUCAAUUUUCCCUAACAAAAUUAUUGCAAAAAUAUAAACCUAUUAAUAGUUGUGUCCACGACCGGGGUGGCUCAAGGGACAUGAGGUAGUAAAAAAAACUUUAUUUUAGGACAUCUACAUUUUGAGAGCUUUAAAAAAUUUAAUAGUUAAUUUUGUGAAGUUAAUUUUUCUUUGAUAAUAUUAAUGAUUGUAAAAUAACAAGUCCAAAAUCUAAAUUAAAAAAAGGAAAACUAUGUAUAUAGAAAUAUUUUAAAAUUUUAAAUUAAAUUACUCAAAUUUUCAUAAUAAUAAAUAAUGUUUUUAUAAUAAUAUUCAAGUAUUAUAUUGAGAACACAUGACUAAUAUCGUGUUAUUUAAAUUAUUCUUUAUUUUAUAAGUAAUAAUUUUACCAUGUAAAUUAUUAUCAUAGAUUAAUACUACACUAAAAAUCAUAACUAUGAAAAACCAAGAAAAGGUAAUACAAAUUUUUUUUUAUAUAUGUCUAUAUACCUACUGCAUACUAAAAUUUGAUUUUAGAUCACUAAUUUUAUUAAAAUAAUAAUACAUAAAAUUUAAACAUGCAUAACAAAAAUUUACACUAAAAGCUAACAUCCAAAAAUCCACAAGAGCACCUUAGAAAAAAUGCAAGCAAGAGUAUCAACUUGUAACUUGCAUUGAGACAGUGUAUUAAUGUUUCUUAUUUUGGCGUUUGUUCAAAUUAGAUGACAUUAUAUUUACCUCGAUAGUUUUGAAUAUUUUAGAAUCAGUUUUAAGUUCUAACUCGUAAAAGUAUUGCAAAUUUUUUACUUGAAUAUUGAAUAUGAAACAAAUUAUUAUCAAAAUUUAAAAGAAAUCAACUAUUAAGUAGGUUUUCAAUAUCACAAUCAUUAUAACAAAUAUAUGCUUCACGGUUCAUUAAAACAAGUUAUGAUUAUUCAGAGAAACAUAUGGAUUCUGAAUCUAUUGAGAUGACUCAAGAAUUUUGCUCAUUCGAUUACGUUAGUCUUGGACAGAUUUCGUCAACGAAAUUUUUCGAUGAGCUUUCUGUUAAACAUUAUAUAAACGUUUUCUCUCAUGUACGAUGUACGGAUGGUUUUGCUUCUGUCAUUUGCCAAUUGCGGCAAUUCUCUGGCUAGAAUAAUUUUUGCAAAUAUUGCCAUGAAAAUCAUAAGUGAAAUCUGAAACUUCCCAGUGUCAUUUUUUACCUAUAUGGUCAAAAGUGGGAUAUUUUUAAAAUUUUCUCUUAGACAUGUGCAAGAAUCCAAAUAUGUAUUUAGACCAAAUUAACAACUUAAGCUAAAAUUGAGGGUUUGAUACUGUGAAAUUCCAAAAAAAGAAAAUUUUGUUUUACAUGAAACAAAAAAAUAAUCCAAACUCCCAUUAAGGUAGGUUUGAUAGGCGGGUAACGUUUAAUUAACUCCGAUUCAAUUAUGAAUUUUAGAUUAGAUUUUUAUCUUGGCAAAGGAAUAAACUUAACUUUCUAAUUUGUCCUAACCGCGUUUAAUAUAAUAGGCUUUAUUUUAACUUUUAAGGAUUUCUAAUUUAGCAUUUUACUCCUCUUAAUUAUUUUCAAGUUAAAAAAACUCAAGUGUAACAAGUAGUCGACGAUUAAAUUGAGAGUGAAUUAAUGUGAAUGCAGAAUUUCAGGACUACUCACAGCCUUGAAUGUAUUAAUUAUGGGACGAAAUUACAAAUUAUCAUCACCUUUAUAAACUCUAAAUUUUUUAUUUUUUUUUUGAGUUUCUCCUCUAAGAAAUUCUGGAAUAUCACAACAAAAAAAUUAAGCAAAGGUGGAAGCUUCUCUUCUCAAAUCUCUGUAGAAUCGAGAAAUGAAUUCAUCAGCUUUUUCGUCUACGUGGUUGAUCAUUUCACCGUUAUCAGUAUCUGAUGUUAGAGGAAAAGGCGAGUCAGUGAUUCUUAAUUGCCUCACCGUUGGAGUCCUUCCAAAUCCAGGCAAAGCAGGUGAUGCUGUUUCGCUCUGAAGCAUUUCUAAUGCCUUCAAAACAGCAGCGUUCAUCAUUGAAACGUCGUCGUGUUCAGGCUUACUAAUGCGCUUGUUGAUGUUGAAGGGGAGGUGAAAAGCCGGGCUGUUACUGCAGCUGAACUCGUAAUACUCUUUUGAAGUUGAUUGAUGAAUAUUAUUAUUAUUAUGGCCCUGGAACAUCAGAUUUUGGAAGGCGGCUUUGCCAGCUAUCUUACCACGUUUCAUUAGUAAAUUGAGAUUGAACAUUAGUUUUCUCUUUGAUGAUAAUCCUUUUCUUAGCAUGAAGUAAGCCACACGGACUAUCUUGUAGAACUUUUUAGCUACAACGGGCAAUUUUUGAUCCAUUUCUCUGUCUAAAAAUUCACGUAUAGACUUUUUUUUAUUUAGUGAUUGUGAGUUUUUGUUGGUUCACAACUCACAAGAAGGAGAGACAAUUAUUGAUGAAAGCUAAAAGAGAGGAGAUGGAGUUUGGUGUGGUUUUAUGAGAAGCAAUGAGUGAGUGGUAUAUAUAGGGGGAUUUUCCUAAAGAGGAAGAGGACGCAGUGAAGUAUUCUAAUAUAUUUUUAACUUUUUAGAAUUGACACGUACAUUUAGGCACGGAAUAGACCACGUAUAUUACGACGACUUGAGAUUCAAUAUUAUAUUGCUUCAAUUAUUAGAGGAGCUGAUUUUCUAGAUCCAGAGUCCUUUUAAGUCACUUUCAAAGAUUUUUCUCCCUCUCCUUUCACAUGAAUUAAUUGCAAAUUUUACUAUAUUAUUUUCUUAAUAGCAAACAUACUUUAUGGUGAAAGGAAAAGGAAGAGAGAGACUAAAGAAGGUAAGUGGAAAAAAAAGGGCUUGAAGGUACUCAAUCAUAGAGGAAGGAGUUUGAAAUGUAAGUUAAACAAAACACAACAAACAAUUUAAAAAAAAAAUGCAUAUUUAGUAUUGAGUAGUGGAUAUAAUAAUUAUGUAUGUCCUAAUCCAUUCUAUGGUACAUUAAUAAUUGUGAGAAAGAUGAGGAUGAAUAGGCCAAAUUUAAAGGUCUCCAGCUUUUACAUUAAUUAACACAUUUUCUGAGAUUGUAUAUGGCAGUAUUGUACUUCACGAUUUUAAAUUGAGAUCAAUGAUCGUUAUUUUUAGUAUUCUUCGUAUAGUUAAUUUUGAAUAUUUAAAAUUUAAUUUAAUCAAAUUAAUUCUUUUAAUAUUAAAUAUGAAAAGUCAUUAAAGAAAGUAUUAUCUCAUUAAACAAAUCCUACAAGAAUUCCACAAGUUUCAUAAGAGAGAUGAGUGUGCUGCCUUGGCUCAAUUAAUUUCAAUAGCGUACGAGUGCAAGUAACCCUUCAUAGGAGAAAAAUCCACGUGGCUUCAUUAUGGCCUAGUAAUUACAUUUACACCUCUAUUAUUUACAUGUCAAUCACCUAAAAUGAGGCCAAUGAUUAAAAUUUAUUCUAAUAAUCAUUAGAGCUUUGAUUGAUUGUUCUUUUCAGUUUAUCCAAUUUCACCCGGACAUUCUAACGAAGAACUUAAUUAAUGAUUUUAAACAGGUGCUUAAGAAAUUUAAUCGAUCAAAUUGAUUGACUAUAGAAAGCUCCUUGUAAUUACAUCCUUCACUAAAUACAAUAAUAUAAUUUUUUAUUUACAAGUUUAGACUUUGGCUUUUAUAGGUUUUAUAAUUUGAAUGUACAAUGGUUAUUUACAUCAGAGGUCCAAAAAUAACUAGGUCCAUUUUAACCGGAUCAAAUACAACUUAAUUUACUCUUCAAUAAUUUAGAAUAAAAAAAUCACUAAUAAAUGUUUCAAUUUUCAAAUUUGAACUUGUAAUAUAGAAGUACAUUUGAUAACAAUUGAACCUAUUUAAUUUAAAUCUUGAAUACCUCAAGAAUUACUUUUCUUUUAUAAAAAGUGUGCAUGCAUAAAAUUAGGCAGCUUUAUUUAUGAUUAUUAUUGCCCACUUACGUAAAAAAAAAGUACUACAAAUUGUAAGACUUCUAUAAAUAAACUCAAAAGAGAAAGCAACUCUAGAAGCAAAAGCCAUACCCAACACAAAAGAAAAUUCAGCUUCUUUUGGCCCGGGGAAAGAGGGAUACAGAAAAUUCAGCAAUUUUCACAUAUAGCAAAUAUAAAAAUUAUAUUUGUGUGUUGUAGCUAUAGUUAAUUUGCAUAAUUGCGCUUCAUAGCAAAUUUUAUGUUUGCUAUGGAGCUUUUGAUUUGUAUAAUUUGCUACAAACAUCCAAUUUUAUACAAAUUGUUUAGUUUUGUAUAAAUUCAUUUAUACAUUGUAAUUUAUAUAAUAAGAUAUAUAUUUGUAUAAUUAUAAGUGUAUAAGACGAAAAUAUAUGUAUUUGUAUUUGUAUAUACAUUUUUCUCUCGCUUUAUACAAACACACACGUUUUAUACAUUUUAUACCGAAAUGUAUAAAACAACUAAUUGUAUAUCGAAUCAGAUGGCAAAAAAAGUGGAUGUUUGCUGCGAAUUACAAUUAAAAUAAACUAUGGCUAUAUCAUUUAAUUUGAAUUAAUAGUUUGUUAUUUCAUACAAUUUUCCCUUAUUAAAUUCCACAAAUCUAAUUUCUCUUUACUUUUUUUUUCUUAAUUAAUUUGCUAACAAUAAAGACAUAUAUUAUUAGUAAAGACUCACUUUGAUUCAGUUGGCACCCAAAAGUUCAAUUAAAUUUUGACUAUUCAGGCACCCCAAAAUUUCUUUACUUGCAAAUAUAAAGUAUGAGAAAAUAUUAUAAAGUUGUUCCAAGUUCAAACCCACUCAAAACGUGACCAUGUACCAUGCUAUUUGUUGCGCCGUAAUUUGACUAUUUCUUUAGAAAAAAUCACUUUUUGAAAUGUUCUAAGUAUAAAAUAAUUUGAAAAAUACUUAGAAAGAGUCGCCACUUAAUUUUUUAAAGAAAUUAAGAAAACUUAUAAAUUUCAAAGAUUUAAACAGAAAAAAUCAUUGAAAAUACCAAAGAAGGUUCGAGGUUCAAUUUACACUUCGAGAAGGGUUUAAGCAUUCGAAGUGUCCGCUAACAUGCGGUUGACCUGCGACUUGACUAAAAUAUAUUUGACUAUUUUUUAGAAAAAAUAAUGAUUUAACAUAAAAAAUAAUAACUUACAAUAUAUUCGAUUAACUUUGAGAAAAUAAUUAAAUAAAUGACUCAUUUUAUUUCAUUUUCAUUUUUUAGAGAAAGGGGUCAAAAAUGAAAUACUUGGCUUGAAAUAAAAGUGAUUAGAAUAAAACUAGAUUAAUUAGAAUUUAUUUAAUUCAUUUUAAAAUAACUUAAACCAAUUUAAUAUAUUAAAGCAUGAAGAUCAUUUUAAAUUAAUUGAAGAAUAAAAGUUUUGACUAACGAGAAAAUGACUUAAGUAAGUAUUUAUAAUAAUAUUUUACAUUAUAAGAUUAACUAAAAAAAAAUAGUUAGAUAAAGAAUAAUUUUUAAAUUUUUGGAAAAUUGGAUCUUAAUUGAAACAACUUGGUCAAUUAGGACUUUAACAAAAUUAAAAUUUAUUUACGUCAUUUUUUAGAAAUAAUAAUUUGAACCAACUUGGUAGACAAACCAAGACACUAUUUUAAUCUAAUUAAAGAUAAGUGAAAGUUUUUGACUAAAAAUAUUUGAAUAAGCAUAAGAGUUGAUAAAAUGAAUUUUUUUUAAAGAAACUAACAUAAAGAAAAUGGUUUAUCUUUUGGGGAAUUUAAUUAAAUUAAGUCGCAAAUAAAAAAAAACAAAUAAAUAAAUAAUCACACAAUUAAAUAAGUUAGAAAUUGAAUUUGGGCCUCCUUUUUGGGCCAAUUUCGCUGUAAUUUCUGGGGAUUUACUCAAUCCCGUUUUUGGUAUACAGCUGAUGUAUAUCAGUGUAUAUCGGCAUGUAUAUCAGCCCUUUUCAGGUAUUUCCUGCUUCCAAACAUAUGUAUUCCGCCUCAGCCCUGUGUUUUUACGUUUUGGGCCUGAAUAUCAGCGUAUACCGCUGUAUACAACAUGUAUACAACCCACUUUCGACUUUUCGGGACCUGUAAUUUAACUUUCCGGCAACUUGAACAAGAUGAGGCUGACUCGAAAUAAUUCAUCGAUAUGCAAGGGUGGAGUCGUAAGAGAACUCAGAUUGAUGUCACAUAUAACAAAGAAGAAGAGAAAAAACAAAGAAGAGGAUUAGUGUCUAUACUUGUACAAAUUAAAAAUAGAACAACACAUCAUCCAUGAAGUCAUUAUCAUGAUCUUACUGCCCAAGAUAGAAAAAGAACAAUGCAACAAGAGAAAUGAAUUGUAGAGCACCAAGAAUCAAUUGUAAUUUAGUGCUACACUACCUAUUGGACUUAAAAUUAAGAGACAAUUAAAUGACGAAAACAAAUUAAACAAGUAGGAGCAUUAAUUCUUACUACUUUCUUCACUGGAACAAGACCAAAAUAAAAUCACGUGAAUACCAAAUCAGUCCAUAUAUACAUCACCAAAGGCAUGCUUGACAAGGGUAACAAUUCAAUACAUGCUAACGGGAAUGCUUGAAUCGCAUAAAAAUGAAUUAGGAACGGACAUACAAUGACUCUAACACAUACUCAAAACAACUACUAAUAUAGCCAAAAUAAUUGUAGAGAAAGAGAGAGCAAGCAUGUGAACUCCUACAUGUUGGACCGAGAAGGGAGCAACCUAAGACAUACUCUUAAAAUGCGACGAAAAACUCAUUGAUUCGGAUAAGAGUCAGUGAGUUAAAGCCUUUAUCACAAUCUAGCCUAACCAAACACAUACUAGUCAAAAUAAAUGUUGACUCUAGCUUAUUCAUAGUUAGGCAAGAAAUAAAAAAAAAUAAAAAAAAUCAGACAAUAACAAUUAAAUCUUCAGCAAAUGGGCUACUGCUACAUCACCAAAAAUAGCUAAACAAUAUACAAAUCAUGCUAAGAAAUAUACUUUCCAAAGAGACCAACAAGAUGACAAAUCUUAAGGCAGCACAACAAUUCCUAAUUAAUAUACAACAGCAUAGCAUAUGCUUCAGCCUUGCAACAAAAUCAUUCGAUGCCUACAUAUAUAUUUGAAUGCUAAGACCGAGAACAAAUGAGCAACCACCUCUAAUACGUACCCAACUCUCGAUUAACCAUGAGAAGUCAAACACACUCAAGCGAUCUCAAAAUCAAGAAAAAAAAUCAGCCGAUAUGAACAAAUACAAUUUAUUCGAGAAGAAAGGAAGAAAAGUAAGAACAAGGAUAUUACCUUUCCCGGAGCAGCGAUACUAGAAACAAUGAGCAGCGGAGAAUACCGACUUCUUCUCCCACGAACUUCGAACACAAAUAGCAGGCUGAGAAAAUCCGAGCGGCGGGAUAUCCUCGAAAAUUAGAAUCAGAAAGCUAAAUAUAUCGUUUUGAAGUGCAAAAAUGACUAUUGCCUCGGAACUAAGCUUAAAACUUGUCAAAAAAUCCCAUUUUCCCAAAAAACUCUCUCCUCCUAAUUGUGACCCAAAGAGACGAAUAUAUAGACGGAAAUUAGUGUGAAACGAUUGUAAUUUGAAUUUUGAAUUGCUCUUUUCGAAGCAACAGUGGAGAGAUUCAGAAAUCUCUGAAAAGGGGACGUGAGAGUAGUUGGACGUUGCAAGCGAGGAGGACGACAACUUUUCUCCGGAUUUGCCGGAUUGAUGCGACUGGGCGCUGGAUUUCCGGGAUUCUUGGCGUGAAGAAGAAACGCGAUGGGGUCGGUUUGGUUUCGUGAAAGAAGAAGAAGACGCAGGGGUUGGGUCUGGUAUGCUGUAUUGUGGGUUGCUAUUGUAAUGUUGUUUGGAAUUGAUGUAUGGGUUACUGGAAAUGGGCUGGGAUAUGAAGUGGGAUAGUGGAAAUUGGGCCUGGGUUUGUAAUUAGGAAUUGGAUUGGCUAAAUUUGAGAGGAAAAUUCCCAAAACUUGGUCUUUUAAUGAGUUGGAGCAAGGUGAUGAGAUGGCUAGAAUUGCAAUAAAAGGGUAGGCAAAUAAAUUAACAAUCUAGCCAAAUUGAAUUCUUUUAGUUAAUUCGGCUAGUAAUUAAAUAAGACGAAUUAAUAUAAUUAACUAACGAACUUCUUAAUCUCAACAAAAUAAAAUAAUUAACUCAAUUAUAACUAAUAACUCGAAAAUAUAAACUAUUAAAUAAACUAAUUAAUCAAAUAUUUAAAUAAAACUAAAAUCUUUUUUGGGACGAUUUUUGAAUAUUUAUAAAAUAUACCCAUUAUAUACAUAAUUAUAUAAGAUAUGUUUACCAUUUAAAAUAUCAUAAAAGGUGACAAAACUAUUUAAAAUAACUUGCAAAAUAUUUUGAAUUUUUAUUAAGUCAAUUAUUUUAACUCGUUUGGAAAUUAAGAAGCUCAAUGAUUAAUUUAUAUUGUGGACGUCCAAAAUUGGGUGUCAACACUAUUAACUAAACAUGUGACAAUCUAAAAGAUAACAAGAAGUGUAAGGUUUUAAUUCUUGUUGAAAUUAAAUUUAUUAUUCAAUUUUUAUAUCUAAAUUUUUUGAAUUUUAUAGUUUCUUAGCUAGCUGGAAAGCACAUCUGUUAAGCUAAGCUUGAUCUAAUAAAAUGAGUAAAGUUGGUUUCAUUAAAACAAAAUCAUUUUUUAGUACCAAUAAAUAUGCACAUGGUUAAAAAAAGUAUUAAAGUCUUUAUUGACAUUAGUUAAUCGCUAUUGAAUUCAAUAUCACUAUAGAUUUUAAUAUCAUUUAUUAAAAAUAUUAAAAUAUAAUAGUCACUAAUAAUUAUCUUUAAGAAAUAUAUUUAGCGGUAACUAAGUUUUAUUUACUUUCUCUCGAGCUAGGUCCUUCAAACGUAUGAUGUUAUUAUUAUAUUUAGAACCGUCCUUUAAAGGCUGCUGAAGGUAGGCAAAGUCAACGACCUUUUUGAUUUGUCAAACUUGCGGUUAUUCAUCUUUUUAUUUAUUUCAUGUCAAAUUAUUUGCCUAUGCUUUUAUUAUCGCGUAUGAAAUUUCUUUUCCACAAUUAAAACCAACCUAUGCUUUUAUUUCUGCAUGCAGAUGUCAAAAUCUAAACUUGGUUAGGUCUUAUUACCAAAAGAUAUUGGAAUACAAUUUUAAUACUUCAAGCUAGGAUUAGUGGUAAUUGGUAAACUUGUAUUGGAGUUCAUUCAUUUCAUUCUACAACUCUCCCUUCAUUCUGAUUUUUUCUUCUUUGUAUUUUAAUAUUUUGUUUGAGAAAAAAACAUAGGAAAAUUAGAUAUGAAAGAAUUUUUGGAAUUGUAUAUUCAAUAUGAGUUGUAUUGCUAAAGACAAGGGUAUAUAAUUGAAUAGACUAAAACUCUUAAGUUAGGUUAAAAACUAAGCAAUUUCAAACAAUAUAAGAGAAAUUGAUAAAUAUAUAUAAUAUUUACCAAUUAUUUUAGUUUAAUUGAUAUCUCGAUAUUUUAGUCCCUGGUGGCUAGUAUCAAAAUAAAUAUGACCUAUUAAAGGCUUGAAAAUACUACUAAACUCAAAGGACCAUGUCUUGAAAAUGUUGAUAAGGAAAUGUGUUAUCAUAGCCUACACAAUUUGGGUGGACAAUAAGUGAAUGAAAUUGGAGAAGACUUCAUCAUUAACAUAUGUAAAUAGAUUUUUCAUCAUCAAUUAUGACGAUUAAAUCUACUGAAUUGGUGAUGAUAAAAAUGUAUACAUCAGUUAUUUGCUGGGAAAAGAAAUGGUGACGACUUAAAGAAGAAGAUAGUAAAGUCUUUGUUUCAAGUCUCAAAAAAUUAGGAGCACCAAAUUAACAGUAGAAAUAUUUUGAUCUUUAAAUUAAACUAUUCAAAUCUUUAUAUUGUUAAAUAAUAUUUUUAUCAUAAAAUCCAAAGUAAUAUAUUUCUAACAUAUGACUGAUAUCUUACUAAUUUGAAAUAUUCCUAAUAACAAUACUAUCUCAAAGAAGAUGAAACUAUAAAAGAUCAAAGAAGAUGAAACUAUAAAAGAAAAAAGGAAAAUUUGAAUAGGAGAAUUAGCUACACUAUUGAAGAAGACUUCUUGAAUUUGGUUGAAUUGUUUUGAAUUGAAAUGAUUAUAAAUGUGCAAGAUCAUCUUUGUUUAUAGAUGAUUUUUUGAAAGAAUAUUAUUGACACCAAAUAUAAAAAACUAACAAAUUAUCAAUGUUUCAAUAUCUUUCCUAACAAUUAUUUAGUCAAAAUACAUAUUCACUAGUAGUUGUGUCGAUGACCAUAAGAUUAGGAGUCUUACGCUCUAUUAACUGAGUUGGUCGAUACUUUAGAAACAACUAGACGUCUCCAUUCAAUUUAUGUAUUUUUCUUAUAUCUUCAUGUAAUUGUUUGCAUAUCAUACAGAUCAAGAGCAUUGUGUAAAAUUUUCACACACAUGUGAAACGUUUUACACUAAAUCCGCCAAAUUAUGUUCUUCUAAUUUUAUAUGUUUUUUUUAAUAAAAAGAACAAAAAAAAACUACUAAAAGUUACAUAUUUUUUUCAAGCAAUUUGUUAAGAUUGAAUUAAUAAAAAUAUAUCUUACUUUUUAUGAAUGGAUAGUUCUCUUUUGAGGUAUAUCUAAGCUAAAAAUCGACUUAUUUUUUAGCCAAAAAAAGUAACAAUACACAUAAAAAUGAAAUUAGAAAAAUAUACUUGAUUUUAUAAAUUGUUAUUCAUGUGCAUGCCUCAUCCUUUUUCUAAUUUAAUACUUUCCACUAAAGUCAACUAAUACACGAAAAUAAAACAUUAUCUAGAUAAUUCAGUAAAUAGAUUAAUUUCAACAAAUUAAGACACAAAUUAAUUUCUUGUGCCUCUUUAUUAUUUUGAAGAAAAUAAGUUAAGGUGGUUGUUUGUUUAUACGUAUAAUCUACUUCUUCAAUAAAGUUCUUUUAAUUAAAAGAGUCAAAGUCAAUGAUUCUUUUUUAAAAGUAAUCAGGAUAUUAAGAAAUUGUAAAUAUGUAUCAAUAUGAUCUACUUCUUCCACAAAAUUCUUAUACUUAUGACAUAUUAUUACAAUUAGGAUUGAUAAUAAAAGAGGUUCAUGUCUUAUCUUUCUAGAUAAAAACAAGGGUGAUGAGACCAAAAAUCAAGAGAGUUAGCUUCUUCUUUUUUUAGUUUAUACCCUUCCUCAGCCAAAACGAGAGGGAUAUUUAUACAAAUUUUCUCUUUGACAUGGUGCAAGAAUCUAUGUGUAAAUGAAUAAUUGAAGCUAAUUUUGGGCGUGUGAAAUAGUCAAAACGAAAUUCUAAAUAAAUUAAUUUGAAUUAUAUAUUCUCGUGGCUCUCACAGGAAUAGACUUAACUUGUUAAAUGCUAACCGAAAUCAGUAUAAAUAAGAAUAUAAUAUGCUCUAUUUUUAACUUUCACCAAUUUCUAAUUUAGCAUUUUGCUCCGACCCUCUAAUUCUCAAUGAAGUACCAAAAAAAGAAAAAGAGUAACAAAUAGUCGACAAUCAAAUUAAGAGUGAACCUGAUGGAUGCAAAAUUUCGCAACUUAAGCCUUGAAUGUAUUAGCCAGCGAAGCCAUAAUAAUUAAGAGUUUGGGGUUUUAAAUUUCGUAAAUAAACCGUCAAUCAAUUUUGUUAGAAUUUAUAAAUUAAUAUACAUAUAAAUUUAAUUAAUUCUCUAGUACAAGUAUAGGGUCUUAGGAAAGCUACUGGAUUCGUCCGAACCCAUGAAGUCCAGCCUAGCUCCGUCACUUGUAUUAGUUAUAGGAUGAAACUUCAAAUUAGCUUAAGGGAGGAUAUCAUCGAUUACCUUUAUAAACUCUUAACAUUAUUUUCUUUUUCGAUCUUCUCUUCUAAAAGUUUACCGAAUACCUUAACAAGGAAAAAAACUCAUAAACAUUAAGCAAACUCUUAAAUAUUCUUAUGUCAUUUUCACCCAUCAAAGAAGCAAUAGUAUUUUUCAACACAAAAAUUUAAAAGUAGAGUGGCUGUUAUACCACUGUUCAUCUCUUUCCUGCCAAGACUUGCCCAUACUUACCCACUCCCUUUUAGAAAUUAAGUGGCCUGGAAAGUAUAGUACAUACACUUUCUAUUUUACAAUUAUUAUAAGACUACAAAAGUGAAAAUUACUCUCCAAUAAGAAGAAAAAUAAGUUUUUCUUUUUCUUUUUUCUGUUUUAGAGUUUAUUUACAUAAAAAAAAAUCCACAAAUCAAAUUUCCCUUCCACUUUUUUUUUCUUUGUUCUUUUUUUGUGCUGCAAUUUUCUAUUGAAACAGACAUAUAUGCUAUACACAAGUGUAGGGAAAAAAGAGUUAGACUAUUAGGAGCGGAAUUCAACUUUUGAAUAUUUACUAUAGUUAGAAGCUAGGAGUAUCAUUUAGAGUACCCUUUUUAAGUUAAAGAUUUAAAGUGACUUCACUUAUCCAAAAUACAAACUCCUAAUUAGUGUGAAUAUAUAUAUAUAUAUACAUCUGGCAUUCAUCCUCAUCUUUUUUUACACAAUUAUUGUUGUACCAUACAAUGGAUUAGGAGACACAUAAUAUUAUCCACUACUGAUCAUUCUUGUCCUGGAACUGUCAAAAAGACCUUGUCCAUGCAUUUUACUUGAAGUAUAUUUAUGCAAGAAAUUACUAAAAAGUCACAUUUUUUCAGAAACUUAUUAAGAAGAAAUUAAUAAAAAUACAUCUUAUCUAUGAAAAAAUCAGAUAUGCGAAAGAAUUGUUGGAAUUGUAUAUUUAUGCAAGGGCAAAUAUGAGUUGAAUUGCUAAAAAUAAGUGUAUAAGUAAACUAAACUUGGUAUUUGACCUAAAGGUGUAAACACCGUGGCCUGCAAAGUCUUGGUAUGAACACCAAAAGCAAAUUGCAAUAAAGAUAGAGAAUUGAGGUUAUUUUUUGGGUGGGGUUAGGGGUUCACGGAGUAGUGCUCAAUUAUUGAACUCUUAGAAUUUUUCACAAAAUAAAUACACAUUUUUCCUAUUUUCUUUUUCUUUAAUAUUUUUUAAAUUAUGUAGUUUAAUUAUAUACUACUAAAAAAUAUUGGACCCUAAGAAAAACAAUACAAAGUCAAUAAACUCACUCAAUAUAUAUGUGACGAUGUACCAUUCAAUUUCCGAAACGUGGCACAAUCUGAAAGAAAAACAGGAAGUAUAAGUUAUGUUAUUUUAGAAUUAUUUCUUCAACCUAGCAGAAAAAGUACUUGAAUUUAAUCUAUGAAAAUUGAAGCUCUUUAAUGCGUUGUAAGAAUCAAGGCUUGUAUUUUUUUUAUUCGUGAAAAUGAAGGAAGAAAAGGCAAUACAUAUAAUUUAUAAAGCCAUACAAACACGCUGAUCAUGUACCAUGCAAUUAUUUGUGAAUUAAACUUGGCAUAAUCUCAACGAAAACAAGUAGUACACGUUUUUUCUACUUCUUUAUACUUUUUAAAAUAAAAACUACUUCUUCAACUUUAAUUUCAGAUAACAUAUAUUUGAAUUUCACAAUUUCUUUGUCUAGAAGAUAUUCAUAAAAAUUGUUAAGUAAAGCUAGAUCUAUCCUAUAAAAUAAAGAUGAGAGUAAUGAGUAUCAUUUAGAGUAUCCUUUUAGUUAAAGAUAUAGAGCGACUGCACCUAUCUAAACAAUCUCCUAAAUGUGAAUAUAUACAAUGGCAUGCAUAUUAUUGUUGAACUAUAUAUAGAAUGGAUUAGGAGGCACAUUGUUCAAAUACAAAUUAGUUCAUUAGUCAGUUAACUAGUUAACAUUGUUUGCACUAGUUAGUUAACACUGUUUGCACUAGUUAGUUAACGGAUUAGUUGGUUGCUCAACUAUGAGCUGUCAAUAAUUAGUUAGUUUGUUAUCUCAAUUCCUAGCUAUAAAAGCACAAGUUAAGAGUCACACUUUGUAUGUUGUUGCAGUUAAACAUCAAUAAAAUUCUCCCCUUUCUUCUUCAGUUUUCUGUCUAGAUUCAUCAAUGAACUGAUGAGCUGAUUUGCUCACAGUUUUCACAUGGUAUCAGAGCUCUGAGCAAUUGAUGUUGGUUGUGUAUGAGCAGAAGUUUUAGACGAGAACAGAAUCUUCUUCUUCAAUAGUUUUUUUUCCUUUUGAGCAUUCAUCAAUGGCGCCUAAAAUCGAUCAAAACGAUCCUCUGUACAUCGGACCAUCAGACGCUUCAGGAGCUGUAGUAAUUCCCAUAAAAUUGACUAGAUCAGAGAACUAUGGGAUCUGGAGCAGGUCGAUGAGGAUUGCACUUUUAGGGAAGAGAAAGUUUGGUUUUGUGACUGGAGCUUGUACUAGAGGAUUGUACAAGGAUGAGCUUCAUGAACAAUGGGAAACAUGUAAUGCGAUUGUAUUGUCUUGGCUGAUGAACACUUUUAGUGAUGAUCUACUCAGUGGAAUCGUGUAUGCAACUACUGCAUUUUCAGUUUGGGCAGAUUUGAAAGAGCGAUUUGACAAGGUGAACAGAAUGAGGAUCUAUCAGCUGCAUAGGGAACUCACCACACUCACACAAGGUACAGAUUCUGUAUCACAUUAUUUCACUAAAUUGAAGACAUUAUGGAGUGAAUAUGAUGUUGUGGUACCAAAUCCCUGUUGUACAUGUCCUCAAUCGAAAGAUUAUGCUGAUCAUCUGCAGCAACAGAGGUUAAUUCAGUUUUUAAGUGGUUUAAAUGACUCUUAUGAUCAAGCUAGGAGACAGAUCUUGUUGAAGGGAACUACACCUUCCAUUAAUCAUGCUUAUGCUAUGGUUAUUGAAGAUGAGAUUCAACAUUCAUCAGUUGUUGUUAAUGUAGUAGAGAAACCAGAAUCAAUAGCACUUAAUGUGAACAAAAAUCAAGGAAGAGAGUAUUACAAAGGGAAGAGGUGUGACUUUUGUCAUUUCACUGGUCACACUAAGGAGAAUUGCUACAAGUUGAUUGGUUACCCAGAGGAUUGGAAGCAAAGGAGAAAGUCAGGAUCAGGCUAUGGAAAUGGCAACACACGCAGUACAUCAAACUCUACCAGUGGAGGUGGUUAUGGUAGACAGUAUUCUACUAAUUAUGUGAAUUUGAGAAAUGCAGGACACUCUAAUGACUAUGGAGGACAGAACUCAACAAACAAUGCAUCUGGUAGCCAUUGUGAUUACUCUCAAGGGACUUUCACUAAUCAAGAUGAGAGCAGGGCUUUCUUGGCAAAAGGUCAUGCACUCACAGACCAUGAAUACAAGCAGAUACUAAACAUGUUAAACAAAGAAGGACAGGACUCUAAGCAGGUCAACAUGGCAGGUAUAACUAUUUGCUUAAUGUCAAAUAAUUUCACUCAGGAUUGGAUCAUAGAUUUUGGUGCAACUCAUCACAUUAUAGCAGACAAUCGUUCACUCACAAAAAGUCAGGUGUUAGAUAAAUCACAGAAGAACCAGGUACACUUGCCUACAGGAGACAAGGUAGACAUUAGUCACAUUGGUGAGGCAUUUGUGUUUGAUGACAAGACAGUGAAGAAUGUUUUACAUGUUCCAGACUUCAAAUUCAGCCUAUUAUCAGUUUCAAAAAUCACAAGGGAAUUGUCUUGUUUUGUAUCAUUCUAUCCUGAUUUUUGUGUAUUUCAGGUCCUCUUCAGUGGCAAGGUGAAGGGGAUUGGUAAAGAAGAUGGAGGUUUAUACAUGUUCAACGGUAAAAUUCCCCCACACAAGCAAGAAGUUACAUGUCAGAAGAAUGUGAUUACUGCAGGAGCAAUAGUCAAAGAUGUUGAUCUGUGGCAUAGGAGGCUUGGACAUCCUUCUGUUCAAGUCCUGAAGAUUUUAAAACUAGUUCAUAACAAUAAAGACAGUGAAGUUCUUUCUAAAUGUUCAAUUUGUCCAUUAGCUAAGCAAACUAGACUUGCAUUCCCUAUCAGUAGCUCUAGAGCAUCUAUAAGUUUUGAUGUUGUUCACAUGGAUCUUUGGGGGGCCUAUAAGACCCCUACUAUGGAUAAGAAACAAUAUUUUCUAACAAUUGUAGAUGACUAUAGUAGAUUUGUAUGGACCUACCUGUUGCAAUUGAAACCUGAAACCAUUGUUGCCAUCAAAAAUUUCAUAUUAAUGGUCAAGACUCAAUUUGCUUCUCAUGUUAAAGUUGUGAGGUCUGAUAAUGGUGCUGAGUUCUUUAACUCUCAGAGCACAAAGUUAUUUCAGGAGCUAGCUAGACAUUCUACACCAAAGUAGUUGUCCUCACACACCUCAACAAAAUGGUGUGGUAGAGAGGAAACACAGACACAUUCUCAACAUUGCUAGAGCUAUCAGAUUCCAAUCACAUUUGCCUAUUAGAUUUUGGGGCUACUGUAUUAAGGCUGCUGUCUACUUAAUGAACAGGUUACCUUCAUCUUCCAUUUAGAACAAAAGUCCUUAUGAAAUGCUUUAUGCCAAACAACCUUUUGUCUCUCAUUUAAGGACAUUAGGCUGUCUUUGUCAUGCCUUAGUAUUGCCAAAAGGUGAUAAGUUUGCAGAAAGGUCUGUCCCUGCUAUUCUCAUAGGAUAUUCAGAGCUUUAAAAGGGAUAUAUAUUGCUGGACAUUAAAUACAAUAAGAUCUCUGUACAUAGAGAUGUGAUUUUUCAGGAGGAUGUUUUCCCUUUUGCACAAGUGAUGCCACAAACACAGUCACCAUUCACUGUUUUUAACUCUCCUUUAGAGUUGGAUACUACUCAUACUGAUACUGCUAGGGAUCCUCAUAUUGAAGACAGUAUUAUGUUGGAUAGUGAGGAUGUUCAGCAUGAUAAUGAGAUUUCAGAAGAUUUCACUUGUAAGAAUUCUCCAUUACAAGUUGUUUCUGAUCAGCCUCUUAUUGUGCCUACAGAUCCUCCCAUGAGAAGGACCACAAGAAGCACUAAAGAGCCUACUUGGAUGCAAGAUUAUACUACUGUUGGCAAGAAGCAAAGUAGUAUCAGGCAUCCUUUGAUUAAUUCUCUAUGUUAUGACAGCUUAACACCAUCUUAUAGAGGUUAUCUAAGUAAAGUGUCUGAUUCUGUGGAGCCCAAACACUUCAGACAAGCAGUCAAAGAUGAUAGAUGGAUACAUGCCAUGAAGCAAAAGAUACAAGCUCUUGAAGAUAACAAAACAUGGAUGGUAGUUGAUUUACCACCAGGGAUGCAUACAGUGGGAUCUAAAUGGGUGUAUAAGGUGAAAUAUAGAGCAAAUGGUGAGGUGGAAAGGUUCAAGGCCAGGCUGGUUGCUAAGGAUAUAGUCAAGGCAAGUAAGGAUUGGACUAUCAUGAUACUUUUUCACCAGUUGCAAAGAUGGUAACAGUUAGAUGUGUGAUUGCUCUAGCAGUGUCUAAAGGUUGGAAUCUCUCUCAAAUGGAUGUCUACAAUGCAUUUCUCCAAGGUGAUCUAGAUGAGGAGGUAUAUAUUGAGAUGCCUGAAGGUUUCAGAAAGCCAGGGGAGACGAAAGUUUGCAAGUUACUUAAGUCAUUAUAUGGGCUUAAACAAGACCUCUAGACUAAUGGAACUUAAAACUUACUACUGCCUUGUUAUCUGCUGGUUUCAAUCAGAGUGCACAUGAUUAUUCUCUUUUUACUCUUAAGAAAAAUGAAGGACUUGUCAUUAUCCUAGUCUAUGUUGAUGAUUUAUUAAUCACUGGCAACAAUGCUCAGAUGAUCACAGAAGCCAAGGAGAAUCUACAUCAACAUUUCAAGUUAAAAAAUCUAGGGGAGCUGAGAUAUUUUUUGGGAAUUGAAGUGUUAAGAUCCUCUAAGGUUGUUGUUUUGAAUCAAAGAAAGUAUGUUUUAGAACUUAUUUCUGAUGCAUGGCUCACGGGUGCUAAAACUGCUCUCACUCCUCUUGAAUCAAACCUCAGACUCACCUCAGUGGAAAAUGAUUUGGUGAAUGGGGUUACUGGAGAUGAGAUCCUUCAUGACAUCACAGCUUAUCAGAGAUUAGUUGGAAAGCUUCUUUAUGCCAAUAUCACUAGACCUGACAUUAGCUAUGCAGUACAAACUCUCAGUCAGUUCAUGCAGUCUCCUAAAAGGUCACAUUGGGAAGCAGCUACAAGAGUAGUAAGAUACUUGAAGGGAACAGUAGGCCAAGGUGUUUGGUUGCAAGCUAAACCUGCCACUAUGUUAACUUGUUGGUGUGACUCUGAUUGGGCUAGUUGUCCAAAUACUAGAAGGUCUAUUACAGGUUAUGUGGUGAAGUUUGGUGAUUCCUUGGUGUCCAGGAAGUCUAAAAAAUAACACACUGUCUCUAGGAGCUCAGCUGAGGCCGAAUACAGGAGCAUGGCUUCAGCUGUAUCUGAGCUCACCUGGUUGUUGGGAUUAUUUACUGAGUUAGGAGUUCCUAUUCAGGUGCCUGUGACUCUUUUUAGUGACAGUAAGUCAGCCAUUCAGCUUGCAGCUAAUUCCGUCUUCCAUGAAAGGACUAAGCAUAUUGAAAUUGACUGUCAUUUUAUCAGAGACAAGAUCAAAGCAGGGGUAAUAGACACUGUACAUGUUCCUACUCAACAUCAAGUUGCAGACCUUUUGAACCAAAGGAUUGCCUCAAGCUCAACAUUUGCAUCUUCUCAGCAAGCUUGGUGUGCUUAAUGUCAUGCACCCUUCAGCUUGAGGGGGUGUGUUCAAAUACAAAUUAGUUCAUUAGUCAGUUAACUAAUUAACACUGUUAGUUAACACUGUUUGCACUAGUUAGUUAACGGAUUAGUUGGUUGCUCAACUAUGAGCUAUCAAUAAUUAGUUAGUUUGUUAUCUCAAUUCCUAGCUAUAAAAGCACAAGUUAAGAGUCACACUUUAUAUGUUGUUGCAGUAAAACAUCAAUAAAAUUCUCUCCUUUCUUCUUCAGUUUUCUGUCUAGAUUCAUCAAUGAACUGAUGAGCUGAUUUGCUCACAGUUUUCACACACAUAAUUAUACCCACUAUAAUCAUAUUGAAUAUGCACUUUUUAUUUUAAUUUUUUGUUGCUUUUUCUCUGUUUUAUUUAUUUACAUUUCAAACCCCUUCUGGAAGAUGAGCUGUAAAUAUCUUGUCCUAGAGCCGACAAAAGCCCUUCUCUACUAGAAAUCACAAUUUUAUUUUAUUUUUAAAUUGAUAAUAAUCACAUCUCUCUUUAUCCGAGAUUGAUGUUUCAUUAAUAUAAUUGUUGCAUAUAAUUACAUGUUCUUAAAUUAUUUCUAGCUGAAUACAUAUUGGAUUUCUGAUUUUGAAUAUGUCCAAGUUUUAAUUAGUCAUGUUAAGUGACCUGGGAGAGGAAAUGUGAUGUUAUUUCCUAAAUCCUAAUAUAACUUGAACAAUCUCAAUUUCAUCAUUUAAGUUAAUACUCUCUUCCGUUUUUUUUUAGUAGUUAUUAUUUUCUUUUUUAGAAUCAAACGAUAAGAAUUAAUUACUUCCUUGUGAACGUAGCUUUGAUUUCAAAACCAAAUAGCCCAAAGGUAUGCUUUACUUUCUGAUUGUAGUUUUUAAAUCGAACAUUACAAAUGUGUUUACACUUUUUUUUUAAAAAGAAAUUAAUUAUUAGAGUAAAAUGAUAAAAAACAAACAAACUAAUUCUAUCUUGUAUUUAUAAAUGAAUAAAUAAUUUAAGAUCACUACUUUUUUUAAUAAUAAUUUAUAAUAAUAUGAUACAGAUAUAACAGUAAUUAAAUAGUACCACAAUUCUUCAAUAAAAUAAAAUUUUAAUAAGCAAUCAAGUGCAUCAGUAAAAUAUUGUAAGUGUGAUGUUUCUUCCAAUAGAGGUUCAAGUAGACGACCAACGUAAAAAGUAAAGGAGUUGCUUUACAACCCACUAAAUGUAACAAAAAUAAUUAUAAACAGAUAUUAGUAAAGUAAUAAAAAAGAGAAAGCCCACAGAUUAAACACUAUAACAUGGUUCCACUUAUGAACAUAAAGUCAAUUUUGCUUUAGGAAAAUUGGUGGAAUUAUCAUAUUGAUUCAUUAUUGCCUGGGCCAUUAAUUUCUCUGACAUAGUACUAUAGUCCUGGCAACAAUUAGAGUUUGGAGUAUUUUGACAAAAUAACAAAUCAGGGUGGAUAUGUUAAUUAGACUGUGUAAAUGAAUUUCCAAGUUAACUAAUUUUCCCAUUCUACAUGAAAUUAACUUUAAUUAGCAAGUUUUCAUUUUCAACCUUGGAUAGUAAAUACUCUCCAAUUAUUUUUAUUUGUUCAUUAUUUUAAAAAUAGAAUUUUCAUUUUUAUUUCUCACUUUUAACAUAUCAAAAAAGGAUAAUUAUUUACUUUCAUAUUUUACCCUUAGCAUUAAUUGCAUAUUUAAUAAUCAUUUCUCAAAAUGUAAUACUCCCUCAGUUUCUAUUUACUUGUCCAUUUAUUUUACUUGACAUACAUAUUAAGAAAAUAAUAAUUGAUACAAUGAGGUUACCAUUUUACUCCUAUUAAUUGAUACAAUUCCAAAAUCAAUUUACUCAUUCAAAAUGUUCUACCUUUUUCAAAAAUAUUAACUCUCUAAAUAAAUUAAGAGUAUAAUAGGUAAAAAAAUAUCUUGAUUUGUUAAAAAUAACAAAUAAAAUGUCAAUAUUAGAUAAGUAAAAAGGGACAGACGGCCAAGUAAAAAUGUAUAUUAUAGUAAAAUAUCCCCUUCAAUCAUGGUUUUUAAAGGCAUGCAUGAUCCGAAAUGAACAAGUAAAAAUAAUCUGAAGAAUAUUAUGUACUCAGGCAGUGGAGGAGCCACCUUACAAUGAGGGGUUCAUUUGAAUCCCCUUCGGCGGAAAUUAUAUGAUUUAUACAUGGUUAAAAUAAUUUUUUAGGUAUAUAUAGUAGAUGUCGAACCUUCUUCGGCUACUUUGUGUGUCUAUUUUUUUAGAUUUUGAACCCCCUUAUUGAAAAUUCUGGCUCCGCCACUGUACUCAGAUAAUGGAAAAAUUACUUGGAUGAAUACUUUUUAAUAAAUAAUUACUUAUUUUAGCGAUACUUUUUAUCUAUUACCAUUUAUAGCAAUACAUAACAAUUAUAUGUUAAAUUUGCAAUAUGUAUUAAAAGUGGAUUAUGUAUGCAAUAUAUAUGUAUUAUAAUUGUUUUUAAAAAAAUAUAUUAUGUUUUUUUGGUAAGAAAUUGACACAUUGUAUUAUAAGUGUAUUAAAUGUGUGAUAAAUGUAUUAUUUAUCAAUAAAAAUGGUAUUAUAUAUGAAUAAUAAAUUAUUAUAUAUUAAAACUGUAUUAUAAAUAUAUUAAAAGUGAUCAAGUGAAAAAACAAUAUUAUUACUAUAAAUGAUAAAUAUUUUUUUAAUAUAGUAUAUUUAUGUAAGUUUCCCUCAGAUAAUCUACUUCUUUGGCCGAAAGAAAGGAAUGAUUUUUAACUUGCUAACCUACUCCAUGUUACCUUUUACCUUUUGCUCUUCUUAUUCUUGAGCAAAUAACUACUCCCACCAUUUCAAAAAGAAUGGUCUCCUUUGCUUUUUAGUCUGUUUAAAAAAGGAUAAUUUUUUUUUUGUUUUAGUAACAUUUUAAUUUUAGCUUUCCACGUGACAUGUUUAAAAUCAUAAGAUUAAAUAACAAUUUUAUACAUUUGACAUAACUUUAAUUUAGGAUCACAAAAUUCAAAAGUCUUCUUUAUUUUCUUAAACUAUGUGUCAAGUCAAAACUAGAUCAUUCUUUGUAAAACGGAAGGAGUAGGAGAGAAGGUUGUAACAAGUAGCCGACAAUCAAAUUAAAGAGAGAAAAAUUGUGGAACCACUUGAAAAUUGUAUACCGUAAUCAAGAAACAAACGGGUAUCAUCACAUUAAUAAUUUUCAUAAUUACAUAAAAAGAGAAAAUUAAGAGAAAGAAAAUCCCGGGACAGAAUGGAAACCAAAAAUUAAUUUGCAGUAUUCAAAGCUCCCAAUCUGCACGUAUUUCUAUAUAUAAUUACUGCCAUGAUCUAAUUAAAAAAAAGAAGAAAACAUUAAGCAAAAGCAGAUGCAGCCUCUCUUCUCAGAUCUCUGUAGAAUCGAGAAAUGAAUUCAUCAGCUUUCUCAUCAACGUGGCUAAUCAUGUCACCAUUAUCAUCAGCUUCUCUUAGUGGGAAAGGCGAGUCAGUGAUUCUUAAUUGCCUCACCGUUGGAGUCCUUCCGAAUCCAGGCAAAGCAGGUGAUGCUGUUUCGCUCUGAAGGAUUUCUAAUGCCUUCAAAACAGCAGCGUUCAUCAUUGAAACGUCGUCGUGUUCAGGCUGACUAAUGCGCUUGUUGGUGUUGAAGGGGAGGUGAAAAGCAGGGCUGUUACUGCAGCUGAACUCGUAAUACUCUUUUGAAGUUGAUUGAUGAAUAUUAUUAUGGCCCUGGAACAUCAGAUUUUGGAAGGCAGCUUUUCCAGCAAUCUUACCA